Molecule: ribosomal RNA, 449 nt
Filed under: uncultured bacterium
Lineage: Bacteria
Description: partial 16S ribosomal RNA
Rfam family: Bacterial small subunit ribosomal RNA
Source: RNAcentral
AACGAACGCUGGCGGCAGGCCUAACACAUGCAAGUCGAACGCCCUAGCAAUAGGGAGUGGCGCACGGGUGAGUAACGCGUGGGAACGUGCCCUUCAGUCUGGAAUAACAGCGGGAAACUGCUGCUAAUACCGGAUAUUCUCUACGGAGGAAAGAUUUAUCGCUGAAAGAUCGGCCCGCGUAAGAUUAGGUAGUUGGUAGGGUAAUGGCCUACCAAGCCUACGAUCUUUAGCUGGUCUGAGAGGAUGAUCAGCCACACUGGAACUGAGACACGGUCCAGACUCCUACGGGAGGCAGCAGUGGGGAAUAUUGGACAAUGGGCGCAAGCCUGAUCCAGCCAUGCCGCGUGAGUGACGAAGGCCUUAGGGUUGUAAAGCUCUUUUAUCAGGGACGAUGAUGACGGUACCUGAAGAAUAAGACACGGCUAACUUCGUGCCAGCCGCCGCCGUAA